RNAcentral lists this ribosomal RNA (691 nucleotides) under uncultured bacterium. Its description in RNAcentral is "bacterial SSU rRNA". It matches the Rfam family "Bacterial small subunit ribosomal RNA", at positions 811 to 1500 of the family's 1533-position model. The record is from RNAcentral.
GGAUACUUGUUGUUGGUGGUAUUGACCCCAUCAGUGACGAAGCAAACGCGUUAAGUAUCCCGGCCUGGGAAGUACGGCCGCAAGGUUAAAACUCAAAGAAAUUGAACGGGGGCCCGCACAAGCCGGUGGAGCAUGUGGUUUAAUUCGAUGCAACGCGAAGAACCUUACCUGGGUUUGACAUCUACUGGAAGGGUCACAGAAAUGUGCCCGCCUUCGGGCCGGUAGACAGGUGCUGCAUGGCUGUCGUCAGCUCGUGUCGUGAGAUGUUGGGUUAAGUCCCGCAACGAGCGCAACCCUUGUGUUUAGUUGCCAGCAUUCAGUUGGGCACUCUAAACAGACUGCCGACGUUAAGUCGGAGGAAGGUGGGGAUGACGUCAAGUCCUCAUGGCCUUUAUAUCCAGGGCUACACACGUGCUACAAUGGUCGGUACAGAGGGCAGCCAAAUCGCCAAGAUGGAGCCAAUCCCAUAAAGCCGAUCUAAGUUCAGAUUGAGGUCUGCAAUUCGACCUCAUGAAGGUGGAAUCGCUAGUAAUCGCGGAUCAGAACGCCGCGGUGAAUACGUUCCCGGGCCUUGUACACACCGCCCGUCACACCAUGAAAGUUGGUUUUACCAGAAGUCACUGUGCUGACCGAAAGGAGGCAGGUGCCCAAGGUAUGGCCGAUGAUUGGGGUGAAGUCGUAACAAGGUACC